UUAAAUCAUGUUCUUCUUCUUCUUACUCUAAUAAUAACUGUAUUUUACUCUUUGUGACAUUUCAAGUUGCUAUCUACAUUAGGAUCAACUUUUAAUGGAGGGUCAGAUGAUGGCAAACCUACACUUCCCAGUGUACUAUGCAGCAGACAUACGGCCAUACAACCAAGAAUGCACUUCCCAGGAGACUAAUGUCUAAUGUAGGGGAUAUUUUGUCAUGAAGAAGAAAAGGAAAUCCUGUUUGAAGCAGGAACAGAGAGAGAAUCUGAGUGGAAUUACAUGGAAGAGAAGACUAAAUAUCAUGUCUAGGGGGAAGAGAUGGAAAUCCUAUAAGGAGGAGAAAAAACAGACAAGUCAAGUGAGAAUUUCAUGGAAGAGUCCUAAGUUUCUGAGGGUGACAAGUUGAACCAAAGGAGAGGCUCCAGUGGAUUUGUCGCCACAGAGCUAGAGACUUCUGGAUCUGUAGCUAGGCAAAGUGAUGGCCAAGAACCAUAAAUGGUACAGGGAAUGGAGUUUCUGAUUUGGAUCAAGAACAUGAGUUAUAGGAAUCUGGAAUCCAGGCUAGGUGUUACAGCUAGCCCAGCAUCAAUUGCCCAAGGAACAAGGAAAAAUCUUUGGGUAUGACCUUCAGGACCUCAGCCCAGCAGAAGUAUUGAUCUGGCAGCAGUACCACCUUUCCAUGUAAACUUAACGAGAUCAAUGCUAUGCAGGAAGUUUUGACCCUAUUUCGUGCCCCGCAGGAAAGACCAAAGUGGUGUAGAGGGCAUUAUGGCCCUAAUGUGUUGGGAAGAAAUUAUUUGCAUAUUUCUUCUUGUUACAUCUUUGAAACAAAUAUUCCUUUAUAAAAUUAUAUAAGUAGUUAAGUGGAACUUGGAGUUCUAGUCACUAGCCCCCCUCCCUUAAAUGAGGGAAACAGCCAGUGGCAGCAAUAGAAGAUACCCCCAAAUCCCUCAGGGUACCCUAGAAUAUUGAGGGGGAGAUGUAGAAGCUUGGCCCUGAGAAAGUGGGACUUUCUCACGCCAUUCUGUGAGAUUAGGCUGCCCACAUGGCAUUAUUUCAGGGAAGACCUCUCUGUCCCAAAAUGUACCUCCCCUUCCUACUACUCAGCUGGUACCAAAAUUCCUUUAACAGAGGAUAAGGCCUUUGAUUUAUAAUUAGAGAAAACAUUUAAGGUAUAAACCUCCCUGGGAUAGGCAACAUGAUGAGUAAAGUUCCCACCAGGAUGUAAAUGAUUGUCCUAAUAACCUUUCCUGAUAGUAGGGUUUAUUAUUUAGAAGAGUAUUAGACAUCUGGAGUAGAAGGAACAGGAAUGCAAAGUGGGGACACGAGCUGCCAAGAAGGAAACAUUUGCCUGUUUCAUGAUUUUGCCAACAUAGGCUUCACUUCCUGAAACCUUCCUUUGGCCUGCAGAUCUGUGAUUUCAUUUAUGCAGAGAACUCCCAGUGAAGACCUUCCGAUGCAGAUCAUUAACUGUUCGGCACUAGGCUGUGUAUCUUGUCCAGGGUCACAUCACCCUCAGCCAUUAUGUGUCAGAAGCAUGUCUUCCAAGGACCACCUGAAGACUCUGAAGACCAGCUCUGUAGCUACUAUAUCACACUGCGUUUCAGUGUAAUCUUAAGUGCCAUUAAUAUAAAUAUAGUUUCUGGGAGGAAGAACCUAAAUCAUUUUAUUGUGAGGUACUGAUAAGAACAAAUUUUGGGUUCAGUUCCAUAUGCCAUAUUUUAGAAAGGUCACUAAUAAGUUUCAGUGUAUCCAGAAAAAUGAAUCACAUAUAUUGGGAGGACUGGAAAUCAUACCAUCCAAAGUUCAGUUGAAGGAUCUGAGCACAAUUAGCCCAGUGAAGUGAAGAAUUUGGAGAGAGGUCAUGAUAGUUAUCUUCUAAUAUUUGUAAUUAGAUUUGCUUUGCUUGGGUCUGGGGAGAAGGACUAUAACAAACGGGAGGAAGUUGUGAAGAAGCUACCUUAAGCUUAAUAUAAAGAAAAAAAAUUUCCAAAAAAUUAUGGCUAUUUAUAAGUAGAAUGAGCUACCUUGGGGAACAGAACACCUAGCAAUCACUGCAGAUAACAUGGUGAUUGGAUGGCUAUUAGACACAGUAGAGGGAAAUCCUAUUCAGGUACAAGUUGAACUCAAUAGCCUCUGAGAUUCUUGCCAACUCCCAGGUUCUACAAACAAUAUGUGAGUCCUGUUAAGCAUGGCUGACCAGGAUUUAAAAUUUCUUUGGAGGAGAGAGAUGUUAAGGGCCAAGUAUAGCUGUAGUUCCUCUGUAAUUCCUUGAUACAGAAAAAGUUACAAUAAUUUUUGUAUUUGUUUCCGUUUUUCUUCUACUUGUAGUCCUUCAAUUUUUAUCCUUAAAAGCCCUUGGAUGACUUUUCUUAGUUUCUCACCAAGUUUUCUUUAAAUUGGUUUUUACCAUCUACUUCUCUCUGCUUUAUGAGAUAACACUGCUUAUAAUCAUCCAUCAUCUAUAUUUUGUAUCAUUUUAUAAAUGACUUCAUAUUCUAACAAUGUUUUCUCUCCAUUUGGCAAGUAAUCCAGAUGUUUACUGACUACAAUGUUUUCUGGCUCUUUAUGUCUUUUGUGGGAAUUAAUUUACAUUGGUUAAAUAUUUUUAUAAAAUUAUGAUAGUUGGUAUCAAUGUCAUUUCUAUUGUCCAUUUCCCAUUGUUUAAAUAGUUCUGUGAUCAUUUGUAUGUCAUGUCUUUUUCUUAUUAUAGUCCUUGAUUUUUUAAAAAAUGAAUUCUGAUCUUAGUUGAGUUGAUGACCUGACUAUGUACACAGGCAGUUGAUUCAGGAAUAAUUACUACAUCAAUAACUUGCAUUUUU
This is a non-coding RNA of Phascolarctos cinereus (koala), 2819 nucleotides long. The record is from RefSeq and is a predicted model, not a curated record. NCBI's taxonomy places the organism in Eukaryota, Metazoa, Chordata, Mammalia, Diprotodontia, Phascolarctidae.